Molecule: ribosomal RNA, 155 nt
Filed under: Lactobacillus sp. sige3
Lineage: Bacteria; Bacillati; Bacillota; Bacilli; Lactobacillales; Lactobacillaceae
Description: partial 16S ribosomal RNA
Rfam family: Bacterial small subunit ribosomal RNA
Source: RNAcentral
CUGGAGAGUAACACGUGGGANACCUGCCCAGAAGCGGGGGAUAACACCUGGAAACNGAUGCUANUACCGCAUANCAACUUGGACCGCAUGGUCCGAGUUUGAAGAUGGCUUCGGCUAUCACUUUUGGAUGGUCCCGCGGCGUAUUAGCUAAAUGG